Molecule: long non-coding RNA, 4780 nt
Filed under: Solanum tuberosum (potato)
Lineage: Eukaryota; Viridiplantae; Streptophyta; Magnoliopsida; Solanales; Solanaceae
Description: long non-coding RNA (STUB_LNC010133)
Source: RNAcentral
CAUAAUUUCACAGUACCAACAACAUAACAAAAUAAUGUAAACUAUUUGAACCGUAUAACUAGUGUUAUUUUGUCUAAUAAUUAGUGAGUUAGAUAGCUAGCUAUAAUACAAGACAAUAAAGGGUACAUAAAAACUUCUGACACUUGAACAUAUGAUGAAGUCUUCCACAUGUCAAAUAUUUCGACAUCAUAACCUGAAAUAAUAAAAUAAGAUGGAUAUCAACAUUAUUUAUGAUAGGACAUAGUAUUACUACUGCUUUAUAACAUUUGACUACUAACAAUCAGACUCUGCACUUUGUCUAUGCACUUAUUUGUAACAAUAGUCCUAUUUGCAAGAAAUUAAAUUGUAUAGGCACAAUUUCGAGCUGGAGAACAAAAGUAUAGAUCCCAAAAUAUAUGUGCUUCAAAACUUAGAUAUGCAUAAAGAAUAAUUUAAAGAUAUUCAACUUAAAGUAAUUGGUUUGAAUCUAAGCUUUUCAUGAGGUGCAAGCUAGAAAGAAACUUUAAAGAUUAUAGCAUUUAUACAAGCUUUGCCAACGUGUAUUAUAUUUGCGUUCAAUAAUUACCUAUAUACUUUUAUUUGUUUUGUUUUUGGUUAAGCCCGCUAAAUGAAUAAGAGAAAUUACAUGAAGUUCCUCAAAUAAAAAAUGCAUAGAGGAGUACAAAAUCUAUUUUAAAUUAAGACUACAUACUAAAAGUUUACUUGGAGAAAGAAUCAAACAUUUAUAAACUAAUAAAAUCCUCGCUAGCUAAGUUACAAAUUAAGAGAGAGCAUACUAAUAAACAUUUACAGUGAAGAGUUGCAGAAACGGGAAUGGGCUUUUUGAGUGUUUGUACAUACUUGUUAGAUUUGCCAGAGAAGAUUUCAGGGAUUGAGAAUUCGAUUUGUUGUUCCUAUUGUAUAACAUUUUGCUUAGUAAAGUAAGGUGGUAGAGUUUUCUACCGCAUACAACAAAAGAAAGUUGUAAAUGACCAAACUCGUAUAUUAACAUUCCAUGGAGUACGCAAACAAUCAGAAUGCAAAUAUCGAUGAAAUGAAAGACAAAAACUCAUGUCGAACCUGGCUUGUUGGGUGUUUCUUGUUUUGCUUUCUUUGCCAGAGCCAGGAGCUACUUAGGAGAUGGAGCUGGUCUCUUUUUCUUUUCAACCUUCAUCAUAAAACAUCAAUCACAUAAAAGACAAUGCUAAUUAAGAUAAAUGAAAAAAAUGAACAAACAUAAAGAUAAAAAAUUUAGUACUACCUCUUUUUGAUGUCUCUUCUUCUAAAUCUUCAUCUCCAUCCAAAUCAUCAAAAAAAUCCAUUACUUAAGGACCAUAAAAAUCCUAGUAAUCCAAAAUUUAAAAAAACUACCUACACCCGGAAAAAAUAUAAGAUAAAGCAUUUCUCCCUGUAUUAAAAGGUAAAAUCUACAUAAUAAGCAUCACAAAAAACUUUAUGAAUGGCAUAGGCACAUCACUGGAGACAUCAUCACUACCAUCUUCAUUAUCCGAGUCAUCUUCAAAAUCAUCAUCAUCUUUGUUAGAUGUCGGUUCUUUUUUUGGUUCUGCCACCUUCGCAUUUUUCUCAAUAAAUGCAACCUUAGUAAGUGCAGACUUUUUUGAAUCAUGCUUUAUAUCCUUCACAUUAUCCUCAAGUUUUCCAUUUAUGCAUCUAAAACAUUCUCUUCAUGUAAAAAAAUAUCACCUCUAGAAUCAAUUUCAUCAACGCUCAGAUCAUCAAUUGUGCAUACAAUUAAAUACACACUCCCAUUUGUUUUAGUCAUGACUCAUGUAAAAUUUUAAACUCCUUUUCAAGGACCAAGUCAAACAUCAACUAAGGUCUAUCCUCUGCCGGUAGAGUUCCAAUGAUGUAAUUAUUUUCUCCAACAGUUAGGCGUAGAGGAACAUGUUUUACUUCUUUGGCAUACUUCACUUCAUCUAUUGCAGCCUACAAAAUAAAGAUCCCUAAUAGCCAUUUAAGAGUAAAGCCACAUUAUGCUAGCUUGAGAAAGAACACAAAUAUAAUUUAUUUAUUUUUAAAAAAAGAAAGCUAACCUUGUAAAUAUGAAUGAGCUUAUAAAGUUCAGGCUUGAUUUAGAAAUCGUCUUACUUUCACUUCAACACCUACACAUAGCUCAUGUGAAAGAUAUGUCACACUUUAAUAAAUUAUGUUCAUAUGGUGUAAUUUCUGCAUCAUGAAAAUAAUUGACCAAAACCGUUAAGGUAUAGAUUAAAAAAAUAAGCACAUGUGUUAGUGGUUCAAUUUAUGUAUAUACAUAUACAAACCGAUCUAUACCUUUUUCUAGUUAUUUGGUUUUGAUUCUAGUAUGCAAUUUUAACUCCUAUUUUCUCUGCAUCUAGUUGCUAGAAACAUAAAAAAAUUCCUUUAAAUGAUACAAACAUCUGUAGCAGAAAAAUCAUGACGUCUUAAGCCUUCAAGAUUCAAUCCAUGAAGCUUAACUUUUUUUCUCAGAUACAAUAAUAUACUUUGGAACAUCGUUAGAAACCUGGAGAACAAAAUGACUAAGAUCCUAAAAAGAUAUGUGAUCUUAAAUAUAGUUAGUGUGUUGCAGUCGUAUAAUAUAUGUGGAUCUUUUUCAUUCCUUGGUGGUGGUUCAGUGGUAAGAUUCUUUCUUAAUUUUUGAUGUCUUUUAAUUCUUUGAAAGACUCAAUACUCCUCGUAUGAUAAAUUAAGAUAUCAAUAGUUUCAUAUUUUGGUUGUUUUUCCUAAAUGCAAACAUAAUUCAAGAUAGCAAUACAUCUGUAAUUGCUAUACUUUUAAGUUUGUUUGUGAGAUGCACCUCAUUAAAGUUUAGUUUCGAACCACUUACUUUAAGUUGAAUAUAUUAAAAUUAGGUCUUCUACAUUUCUCAGAUUGAAAGCACAUGAACCAAUACGGUAAAUUAAUGAACAACAAUAGCUCCUGUAGUGUGGCCGUAGUCCUGUAUGUGAAGAAUUUAAAUUAUCAUCUAUCAGUUAUACUAAAUUUCCAGAAUAGGUCAUGCCUCAUGAAAAUGACUAAAACGAAAUAGUCAACCACAACAUGACCUGCAAGAAAUGUGGUGUUUUUCACUAGAAAGCAAUACAUAUUCUUUCAAUACGUUAAAACUAAAGUGUAUCUAUUUGAAGAUACAAAGAUUUAGUUGGUUGUGUAUAUACAAGGACAUCAAUUAAGAUUUCAGUCUCAAGUUUAUUCAUUUCCAAAUUUUCUAUAAUGGAUCUAAGAACGGAUUGAAGCUUUUAUCUGUAAGAGUUAUUGGCAUUCCACACAAGUUGAAUUAGAUUAGCCUUAUAUGAAACAAAUGCAUUAAUACUACAAAGUAGAAAUAUAUUCUUUUGCUUUGAUCGCUCAUUUAUUUCCUAUUAGUAUAGUAAAUUUUUAAUCAAACAUGAGUUCAUGAAGGAAUUUUUUUAUCCCUUAUAAACUUAUUAGUGAAUCAAAAGCUACUUAAUCUUUGCAAGAGAGUGAUAAGCAGUAUAACACAAUUAUAGCAUCCAAAUUACAAAUGACAUAAUAAUGCAUGAGGGAUAUCUUAAUAAAAUCAAAUUUCCUAUAACUUCUGGGAUUAUAUUUAUAGGAAAACAAGGAAUUUCACCUCAAAGGGAUAAGGGGCAGAACACAUAGGGUACAACCUCCACUAAUAAUACUGAUAAUUAUCACUAGCGAUAGUAAUAUUUUUGAGAUAGAACAAGAAAUAGUAUUGUUAUACUUUGUGGAUACACUCUACUCCAAGAUUUUCCUGAUCGGGACCUAGACUUUAGGUACUUUUUUAACACAUGAAUUUGUACAUCAGCAAAUCUACACAGGAAAGAAGCACAUACAUGAAGAAAGUAAUCUGAAGAUCUCAUUCAGUAACCUCUAAAAAUUCAUAAGCAUUUUUAUUUCCUAAAAUCUUAUACUCUUAGGAAACAUAAAUUGAUUGGAGUACACACACUAAUUCACCAACCUCUAAAAUUUCAAGAGAAUUUAGAUUUCCUAGCUUCUUACAAUUCCGCAGCAAUAAGACUCAAAGUCCUUCAAAUAUCGAUAGUUGAUGUUUGGAUAAAAGACAACUAGAAGGGACACUCUCCUCUCAUCUUCAAUGUUUCUCUCUUUGGUGAAUUCAACAUACAUAAUCUAAUGUUAUUCCUGUUUGAUCAAAAUAUUCAUCCGAGAACCUACGUUAUUUGGUAAUCAUACAGACAUAUAUUCAUGUGCGCUCUAGUUAUAUACAAACAUGAUUAUUCAAGAAAUCACCAUCCAUGUUUUUACAUAACUUCAAUUAGACUACAGAUCACACAUUAGUCACCUUAUAAUGUAAUAUAUAUUGAUGUUUUCAAGAAAUUAAAACAAAUCUCAAUCACAGAGAGAUCUGAAUGCUAUAGAUUCAGGUAAAAAACAUCAAUUUUUAUUAAUGAUACACAGAGAACUUCUGAACAACCAAAGUAAAGAUAAAAGAAUCGGCGAAACAGAGGAAUCAAAUCAAGUGAUUUUCCAUCAAUUCAACAGCAGUCAGAGAUCAUAUAUUAUGAUUUAACAAACUCAAGAAAUCUAUAAUUUCACAAAUCAUAGAUUGCCAUAGUUAGACAUCACAAAAUGCAAUUUGACAUGGUAUCAAGUAUUUCGGUACUUGAUAAGAAGAAUAUUUUACCAAAAAAGACCAAAAUGUUAAGGAGAAGAAUUAUUAAGGUAACAAUCUGAAACUUACAUGAAUGUAGAAGAUGAAGAUGAUGACAAGGAGAAGAUUUAAACAUCGGUGGUUCAGCAAUAUCGACCUAAAGUCAUGACUCUGACUAUAAAUAGAUGAUGUCUAGUGAUGGGU